RNAcentral lists this ribosomal RNA (854 nucleotides) under uncultured bacterium. RNAcentral's name for it is "bacterial SSU rRNA". It matches the Rfam family "Bacterial small subunit ribosomal RNA", at positions 9 to 859 of the family's 1533-position model. The record is from RNAcentral.
GAGUUUGAUCCUGGCUCAGGAUGAACGCUAGCGGCAGGCUUAACACAUGCAAGUCGAGGGGUAACAGGAGUAGCUUGCUAUUUGCUGACGACCGGCGCACGGGUGCGUAACGCGUAUAGAAUCUACCUUAUACUAGGGGGAUAGCCUUUGGAAACGAAGAUUAAUACCCCAUAGUAUUAUUUUUUGGCAUCAUUAAAUAAUUAAAGUUUCGGCGGUAUAAGAUGACUAUGCGUUCUAUUAGUUAGUUGGUAAGGUAACGGCUUACCAAGACUUCGAUAGAUAGGGGUCCUGAGAGGGAGAUCCCCCACACUGGUACUGAGACACGGACCAGACUCCUACGGGAGGCAGCAGUGAGGAAUAUUGGACAAUGGAGGCAACUCUGAUCCAGCCAUGCCGCGUGUAGGAAGACGGCCCUAUGGGUUGUAAACUACUUUUAUAUGGGAAGAAUAAGAUCUACGUGUAGAUUGAUGACGGUACCAUAAGAAUAAGCACCGGCUAACUCCGUGCCAGCAGCCGCGGUAAUACGGAGGGUGCAAGCGUUAUCCGGAAUCAUUGGGUUUAAAGGGUCCGUAGGCGGGCAUAUAAGUCAGUGGUGAAAGUCUGUGGCUUAACCAUAGAAUUGCCAUUGAUACUGUAUGUCUUGAAUUAUUGUGAAGUGGUUAGAAUAUGUAGUGUAGCGGUGAAAUGCUUAGAGAUUACAUAGAAUACCGAUUGCGAAGGUAGAUCACUAACGAUAUAUUGACGCUGAUGGACGAAAGCGUAGUAGCGAACAGGAUUAGAUACCCUGGUAGUCUACGCCGUAAACGAUGGAUACUAGUUGUUUGGCCUUCGGGCUGAGUGACUAAGCGAAAGUG